This 458-nucleotide ribosomal RNA is filed under the name uncultured bacterium. RNAcentral describes it as "partial 16S ribosomal RNA". It matches the Rfam family "Bacterial small subunit ribosomal RNA", at positions 339 to 795 of the family's 1533-position model. The record is from RNAcentral.
CUACGGGUGGCAGCCGUGAGGAAUAUUGGUUAAUGGGCGCGAGCCUGAACCAGCCAAGUCGCGUGAGGGAAGACGGUCCUAUGGAUUGUAAACCUCUUUUGUCGGGGAGCAAAAGACGCCACGCGUGGCGCUCCGAGAGUACCCGAAGAAAAAGCAUCGGCUAACUCCGUGCCAGCAGCCGCGGUAAUACGGAGGAUGCGAGUGUUAUCCGGAUUUAUUGGGUUUAAAGGGUGCGCAGGCGGAAGAUUAAGUCAGCGGUAAAAUUGAGAGGCUCAACCUCUUCGAGCCGUUGAAACUGGUUUUCUUGAGUGAGCGAGAAGUAUGCGGAAUGCGUGGUGUAGCGGUGAAAUGCAUAGAUAUCACGCAGAACUCCGAUUGCGAAGGCAGCAUACCGGCGCUCAACUGACGCUCAUGCACGAAAGUGUGGGUAUCGAACAGGAGUAGAUACCCGAGUAGUC